CAUAAGUUCUUCUUUUAGUGCAGGAUGUAAUUGUUGAAACGUCAUUGGAUUUUCAACAAUUACAUCCUGCACUAAAAGAAGAACUUA
Molecule: microRNA precursor, 87 nt
Filed under: Megaselia scalaris
Lineage: Eukaryota; Metazoa; Arthropoda; Insecta; Diptera; Phoridae
Description: microRNA MIR397
Source: RNAcentral